UGCUACUACGGUUUUGGUUACAUGCAACCGCCCAUUCAGUCAAGCAAAAACAUUUUGGAUUCAGGCCAGUAAAGUCCAGCCAGCAUUAAAUUUAUCCCUUGUUAGCAACCCUGCUGAGAUGUUUCUUACUAAAAGAGUGCGUGUUAUGUCAUCCGCGAGUGCAUUGACCUCCUGUACGGCUUUGCUUCACUUACUGGGGUGGUGUAAUAAGCCAAAAAAAAUAUUUUAGGGGGCUUGGCCGCCGCAGCACCAGCGGGACCGUAGCGGCCCAGCUACUAUGCAGCGCUUCAGCAGGCAUCAAUGUAUUUGCUAGUCGAUGUCAUUGAGAAGAAAUGCAUGCAGUAUGAUUCGAAGUAGGUCACAUUAUUUGCUACAGCGGCAGUUCCAAACGCACACAUUUCCGUGCUGCUUCCAAGAAACAAGCCCUGGCGUGAUUCAGCGACCCCGUCGCUUGCAAGCUCGUGGGUUGACGCUUCAGGAUGAACUUGGCAGCACUUCACUAGAUGUCUUAGUCAUCGCAUCUCAACCAACUUCUUGCUAACAUGUAACCGUGAAGAUAACCGUCUUAUCGCUGUUUCUUUGCGAGACGUGUGCGGCGCUGCGAGCACGUGAUGGUUGUCUGCUUGACCGCGUCAACCCACCCAAAAAAGUCGUGUGCUUGACCAGCUGUCACACCCCGAUGCUCAUCAUGAAUCUUCCCUAAGUGGGUUUAUGUCACUAUUUAGAAUUCGGCAGUUCUUUCCCAGGUGUACACAUCAUUGGGUUGUGCGUGUGCCAGUCCAGUUUCCUGUCUGCUUCGACGGUCAUAUCUUGUGGGAUUUUCAGCGCUAUUCGUGGUAAAAAGGUGCACGAACACAGUGUCGACGUUAUUUUGAGACGCUGUUAUCGCAAACGUCUGGUCGUACCGGUGUGGUGUCGCCUUGGUAUGGGCGAAUUGUUGAUAUUUCUGCCCCUCCCGAUGGAGUUGAGUGUUCCCAAAACGGCCGAAGUGGCAAUAAAAGAAACAAAACAAACAGUGUGGAUGUUUUCUGCUCAGGGCAGCAAGUUUGUUCCAUUUGACACAUGCUCGCGGGCAGCUUUCUCUGAUCUCAUGGAAGAAGAUAGUUCGUGCAGAUAAUCGUACACGCUUGGAACCACUUUCUUAAUCGCCAUUCCGCACGCUGCCCCGCAGUCGUCAAAGGAAAUCUGAAGCCCGUCGAAGAAUCACCACGGGUAAGCCAAUGCAGGUGAAGGACCUGACUGAGGAAGUGAAUCUCACUUGGAACGCGAACGGUCCGAAAGCCAAAAACGGAAGUUUUCUUAAUGUACGACCAGAGAAUUCUGUGCACUGCUUAGCUAUCUGGAGAAGCUCUGUUGAGGCCCUGAGUGAAGCUGCCAGCUGCAAGGUGAGGACACCUCGAACAGGUUAGCUCUCUGAGCAUACCGCAAUUCUUUGGAGGAAAAAUUACUCGUUGACUAGACAGGAUGUUUCAUCAGAAGCGUUGCGCCGGCAUCUGGGUGUACUACCUUACCUUCUCAUUCAACACUCCAUAGACAGAAACAAAUGAAAGAAACCGAAUAUGUGGCUGAAUGAGAUUCUUGCGCAUCUGCAUCAGCAUUCAGGUAUCUUUUUGCUCUGUCCCGUGCGUGCAACCGGAUGGGCUUACCAUUUCUUCAACGCAUUCUCUCAGAAUCUCGUAGCGGGAACGCUCGCUUGGAGUUGGAAUAAAUUGCUUGAGGUCAACCCGGUCCAAGAAAGCUGGAUCGACUGCUUCUAUAUUUGCACGACAGCGCUGACAAAAUGGCGAGGUUCCCCGCAAAGGCAAGAUUAUCCUGACGCGUACCUGGACGAGUUUUCCAGAUUCGCUGAACCAUCGGGAGAAGAGAGAGUGAGCAUUUAUUUCGAGAAGUUGGCUGCUGCGGUAUCGGUAACUCAUCCUGACAGAGAGUUUUUGUGCCAGCGCUCUACAAAGCGAAGUUUUGCCUGUAAGAAACAUGUGCUUCCCACCAGCAAGAAAGAUGCGUUAAGAAACUUGCGCACCUGUGCCGGGAGGGCCAUGGAGUAGCAGAAGUCUGUUCCAGUUAAUUAGCUGCAACGGAGUCCCUCAGACCAGUGCACUGCACACAGCUCGGCGGCGAUUGAUUCACCUUGUCAUUGAUUCUGUGGUCGGAGAAGAGCAUGGCGGAAGAGGCGUACUGGAGCAGGGUUUUUUUCACGUUGGUGUCGAAAUGAAGACUAUCCCACAAGCCAUGAAAAUCCUCAUUCGGCAAUGGCCAGUGCUGACACGCAGGAACUGCUUCCUCCUGUCCGUCUUCUUGCAUUUCUGCUUCUGGCCUCUCUGAAGAGAGGUAGUAUAGGACCACUUGGACUGUGGCGUCUAUGAGUGGUACGAUGAUUGGUGACUCCUCCAUGCACGACCAUUUGGCGCACACAGACGUUUCGGGUAGAGGACCAACCCCUACACAGGUGCCCAUAGGUGAUUCCACAUCUUCCGGAAGAGCGUACUCCACGUUAAUUUCUCUGCAUGCCCGGGACAAUAUGGCAUUUUCGACGAGGCGAGGAUCGUGGCGUCCCAGUGCGAUAGUAAAACCCGACGAUGCCAGCCACGCGUAGCCCUGUUGCCGAAUCUCCUCUGC
RNAcentral lists this long non-coding RNA (2616 nucleotides) under Toxoplasma gondii VEG. Lineage: Eukaryota; Apicomplexa; Conoidasida; Eucoccidiorida; Sarcocystidae. The record is from RNAcentral.